RNAcentral lists this ribosomal RNA (268 nucleotides) under uncultured prokaryote. RNAcentral's name for it is "partial 16S ribosomal RNA". It matches the Rfam family "Bacterial small subunit ribosomal RNA", at positions 524 to 792 of the family's 1533-position model. The record is from RNAcentral.
UACGGAGGGUGAAGCGUUGUUCGGAAUUAUUGGGCGUAAAGAGCGUGUAGGCGGUUUGGUAAGUCCGGUGUGAAAGCCCUUGGCUCAACCAAGGAAGUGCAUCGGAUACUGCCAAUCUUGAGUACGGGAGAGGAGAGCGGAAUUCCCAGUGUAGAGGUGAAAUUCGUAGAUAUUGGGAGGAACACCGGUGGCGAAGGCGGCUCUCUGGAACGAUACUGACGCUGAGACGCGAAAGCGUGGGGAGCAAACAGGAUUAGAUACCCGUGUA